AUGCAAGUCGAACGAUGAACCCCAGCUUGCUGGGGGGAUUAGUGGCGAACGGGUGAGUAACACGUGAGUAACCUGCCCUUAACUCUGGGAUAAGCCUUGGAAACGAGGUCUAAUACUGGAUAUUGACUUUUCCCCGCAUGGGGUUUGGUUGAAAGAUUUAUUGGUUUUGGAUGGACUCGCGGCCUAUCAGCUUGUUGGUGAGGUAAUGGCUCACCAAGGCGACGACGGGUAGCCGGCCUGAGAGGGUGACCGGCCACACUGGGACUGAGACACGGCCCAGACUCCUACGGGAGGCAGCAGUGGGGAAUAUUGCACAAUGGGCGAAAGCCUGAUGCAGCGACGCCGCGUGAGGGAUGACGGCCUUCGGGUUGUAAACCUCUUUCAGUAGGGAACAAGGCCAGCAUUUUUGUUGGUUGAGGGUACUUGCAGAAGAAGCGCCGGCUAACUACGUGCCAGCAGCCGCGGUAAUACGUAGGGCGCAAGCGUUAUCCGGAAUUAUUGGGCGUAAAGAGCUCGUAGGCGGUUUGUCGCGUCUGCCGUGAAAGUCCGGGGCUCAACCCCGGAUCUGCGGUGGGUACGGGCAGACUAGAGUGAUGUAGGGGAGACUGGAAUUCCUGGUGUAGCGGUGAAAUGCGCAGAUAUCAGGAGGAACACCGAUGGCGAAGGCAGGUCUCUGGGCAUUAACUGACGCUGAGGAGCGAAAGCAUGGGGAGCGAACAGGAUUAGAUACCCUGGUAGUCCAUGCCGUAAACGUUGGGCACUAGGUGUGGGGGACAUUCCACGUUUUCCGCGCCGUAGCUAACGCAUUAAGUGCCCCGCCUGGGGAGUACGGCCGCAAGGCUAAAACUCAAAGGAAUUGACGGGGGCCCGCACAAGCGGCGGAGCAUGCGGAUUAAUUCGAUGCAACGCGAAGAACCUUACCAAGGCUUGACAUGAACCGGAAA
Molecule: ribosomal RNA, 944 nt
Filed under: Arthrobacter glacialis
Lineage: Bacteria; Bacillati; Actinomycetota; Actinomycetes; Micrococcales; Micrococcaceae
Description: bacterial SSU rRNA
Rfam family: Bacterial small subunit ribosomal RNA
Source: RNAcentral